CCUACGGGUGGCAGCAGUGGGGAAUAUUGGGCAAUGGAGGCAACUCUGACCCAGCAACGCCGCGUGAAUGAUGAAGGUCUUCGGAUUGUAAAGUUCUUUCGACAGGGAAGAAAAUGCCUAUAAGUAACUGUGUAUGUAUUGACGGUACCUGUAUAAGCAGCCCCGGCUAACUCCGUGCCAGCAGCCGCGGUAAUACGGAGGGGGCGAGCGUUGGUUGGAGGGAACGGGCGUAAAGAGCACGUAGGCGGUGUUGUAAGUCAUUAGGCAAAGACCAGAGCGCAACUUUAGUAAGGCUAGUGAUACUAUAAUACUAGAGUAUCAGAGAGGAUUGCAGAAUUCCUGGUGUAGCGGUGAAAUGCGUAGAUAUCAGGAGGAAUACCGUUAGCGAAGGCGGCAAUCUGGCUGGAAACUGACGCUGAGGUGCGAAAGCGUGGGUAGCAAACAGGAUUAGAUACCCUGGUAGUC
Molecule: ribosomal RNA, 465 nt
Filed under: uncultured bacterium
Lineage: Bacteria
Description: partial 16S ribosomal RNA
Rfam family: Bacterial small subunit ribosomal RNA
Source: RNAcentral